CCAUGGCGGCGGCGGCUCGGUCUCGGACGCGGGCUCCCUCGGCCCGGCCAGCAGCUCCCUCCAAGACCUCCGCGGCCGCCACCGCCUCUGCAGCCAGGCCCGCUGCGACCCACAGCGCCCCCGGCGGCGGGAGGACUCCCGGGCGGCCCCAGCGAGGGAGCGGCGCCUGAGUUUUCUUUAUUCCGAGAUUAUCCCACAUGUGCACAGAGUAUUAAGAAAACAAACAGGAUUGUUUGGCUCAAAUACUCCAAUCAGCCAAGGAUUAUGAGAAUAAUCUGCAUAAAAUUCCAGUUCCAGCUUAACAUCUUUAAAGUUAGGUUUCCAAUGCAGUUGCCAUUCUCCUCCCUAUGAAGAAGGACAAAGAGAGAAAACUUCCAUUUACAUCACAUAUGGUCUCUGUUGCCUGGGAUAAAAUGCAGUGACA
This is a non-coding RNA of Microcebus murinus (gray mouse lemur), 424 nucleotides long. The record is from RefSeq and is a predicted model, not a curated record. NCBI's taxonomy places the organism in Eukaryota, Metazoa, Chordata, Mammalia, Primates, Cheirogaleidae.